This is a non-coding RNA of Peromyscus maniculatus bairdii (prairie deer mouse), 995 nucleotides long. NCBI's taxonomy places the organism in Eukaryota, Metazoa, Chordata, Mammalia, Rodentia, Cricetidae. The record is from RefSeq and is a predicted model, not a curated record.
GGGGCGAGAACCGCACGAGUUAGACCAUUCUGUAUCUCCCUGGAAUCGAGGCAGUGCAAUCCUGAAGACACCCACACAAGGAAGUAAAAAGCAUCGUGAAAAAUUAUUAAAUUCAACCCUUAAGUCUGGAAUGCAAAAGACAAUACUAACACGUGACCUAUCGGCGACACUACACAUAAACACGUCCACAGUCCAACCAAAAGGCCGGACGCCAGGCUGGGCUUCGGCCGCCUGCAGACAGCGGACACACGUCAGAUUAAAGGACACUGGUAACAGGAGCUGGAACUCACUGCUAUGCCAGAGUCUCAAUCGCGCGGCUCAGCGCGCGCCGCCGCUGCGUCUGACGUCACCGCCCCGAGGCCAAUCACAGAGCGGCGUCCCCAGGUCACGUGCCCCAAACAAAGCCGGUCCUUCUGGACAGCGGGCUGAAUGCGCUUCCGGGAACUUGAGCCAAGGGCGGAGCGCCGGAAGCCGGGCGGGCGACGUGCCCGCCACACGGAGAAGAGGCGCUUCCUUGGAUGCAAGUGUCCACCAUGUCUGGCCGCCAUGUUUGAACAAGUCGCAACCUUUGAGGCCUCCGCGGCCGCCAUGUUUGAGAAGGGCGCUCCGUUUGAUACAUAAGGCGCCAUGUUUGAAAAGGCACAUCCCUUGAUGCCUCUGUGGCCGCCAUGUUUGAGACGGGCGCUUCCUUGCUACUUGUGGUCGCCGUGUUUGAAAAGGCAUAUCCCUUGACGCCUUCGUCGCUGCCGCGUUUGAGAGGGCCAGCUGCCUCGCUGGAGGGCCUUCUCUCUUUGGUCUCAGUGUCUUCCCACCCUGCGGGGGCCAACAUCAGCUCGGGGUCCCUUGGCAGGAGCCCGGCACUUAGAAGCACUUGCAAUCAAACCUGACAAUUUUUGAGUUGGACUCCAAGACCCUGACAAGAUUGACACUCCCCUCCCGAGACUGACUCAUUUCAUUCUUUCUGUCUCAAAAUAAAUAAGUGUGAAAAUGAUAAA